This is a long non-coding RNA of Andrographis paniculata, 1051 nucleotides long. RefSeq lists it as uncharacterized. The record is from RefSeq and is a predicted model, not a curated record. Lineage: Eukaryota; Viridiplantae; Streptophyta; Magnoliopsida; Lamiales; Acanthaceae. The transcript has 5 exons.
CAGAGAAGCCUCAGACUCGCGCCUCCUUUGCCUCCACCGUCACUCCGCCGUCGCCUCGCCUCCACCUUCGUGCCGCCGUUGCUGGUGGACGGCAGCCCAAAAUUCACCCUAAGCUAGCGACCUUUGUCACGUAGGUUCGAAGGCGGUCGUUCGGGGUACGUUUUAGGACGCAUAAUCGAUGGGAAUGGUGUCCAGUGGCAGAAAAUUUUGUGCGUGAAGGUGCUUAGGGGGUCGGUAUUAUCUUUGGAGAUCACCUACGGGUAGAGGACCGUAUUCGUACAUGUGCCUGCUUCUGCCAAAUAACUUCUGAAAUGGCAAAAACCACUCGAGGAAAAGCAAAUGCAUCUCAGGAUCUUGUCAACUCACCGUUGCGCCGUGUCACUAGGUCACUUGCACGUGCCACUCCAUCACCCUCGGCGAAGGCUGUUUCAAGUAACCCUUCUUCGCCAACAGUGGUUCCAACAAAGAAGAAUACGAGUAAACGGCCAGGGGCACACGUAUCACCUCUUAUGGACCGAUUACGCAGGAUUACUGAAGAGUGGGAAAAAGAGCGUGAUUCCAGGUCGCCUUCAGCAGCAGCUCCAUCCACAGUCCGACGGAGUCUUCUUCAGGAAUCACAAGCACCAGAUCAGGAAGAGCUGGACAGCCAUGACUCGGAAGAUGAUGAAAUGAUUGGUCCAACUGAAGAUUAGGUCCCGACUAAUUGCAAUCUCGAUGACGAAGGUGGAGCACAUGAAGCAGAGGCUGAGGAACUCCGGGAGACAUUGGGCAAUGACAUUCGCGAAGAGGAUACAGCAAUGCAGGAUGAUGGCCCUCUUUCGAAAAAGAAAACUGGAUGAGGUGCCGCAAAGAUGCCCCGUGGUUGGGGUGGUGACAAAUUCCUUCAGGUGUUUGUGUCCGAUGAUGGCAAGCGGAUAAUAGGUACUGACCUUCAUGGAUAUAAGAGUUCUCUCGGGGUGAUUGCGAGAAACGGACUACGUCUUCCUCUCCACUAUCCGACAUUUCAACAGAUCCCAGAGACAACCAAAAAGGAGAUAUGGCUGAGGUACAG